AUUGAACGCUGGCGGCAGGCCUAACACAUGCAAGUCGAGCGGAAGGAGGGAGCUUGCUCCUGGAUUCAGCGGCGGAAGGGGGAGUAAUGCCUGUGAGUCUGCCGGGUAGUGGGGUGUGACGUCCUCAAACGGGCGCUAAUACCGCAUACUUCCAGAUGGAGAAAGUGGGGGAUGUUCGGACCUCAUGCUAUCAGAUGAGCCUAGGCCGGAUUAGCUAGUUGGUGGGGUAAAGGCCUUCCUAGCCGAGCAUCCGUAACUGGUCUGAGAGAAUGAGCGGCCGCACUGGAGCUGAGACACGGUCCAGACUCCUACGGGAGGCAGCAGUCGGCAAUAUUGGACAGUAGGCGAGAGCCUGAUCCAGCCAUGCCGCGUGUGUUGAGACGGUCUUCGGAUUGUAAAGCACUUUAAGUUGUGAGAAAGGGCAGUAAGUUAAUACCUUGCUGUUUUGACGUUAACAACUGAAUAAGCACCGGCUAACUUCGUG
RNAcentral lists this ribosomal RNA (484 nucleotides) under uncultured bacterium. RNAcentral's name for it is "partial 16S ribosomal RNA". It matches the Rfam family "Bacterial small subunit ribosomal RNA", at positions 30 to 507 of the family's 1533-position model. The record is from RNAcentral.